Molecule: ribosomal RNA, 1382 nt
Filed under: uncultured bacterium
Lineage: Bacteria
Description: bacterial SSU rRNA
Rfam family: Bacterial small subunit ribosomal RNA
Source: RNAcentral
UUGAACGCUGGCGGUAUGCUUAACACAUGCAAGUCGAACGGAAACGAUACUAGCUUGCUAGUAGGCGUCGAGUGGCGGACGGGUGAGUAACGCGUAGGAAUCUGCCUGAUAGUGGGGGAUAGCCCGAAGAAAUUCGGAUUAAUACCGCAUAAUCUAUUCGUAGUAAAGUGGGGGACUUUCGAGCCUCACGCUAUCAGAUGAGCCUGCGUAAGAUUAGCUUGUUGGUAGGGUAAAAGCCUACCAAGGCGACGAUCUUUAGCUGGUCUGAGAGGAUGAUCAGCCACAUCGGGACUGAGACACGGCCCGAACUCCUACGGGAGGCAGCAGUGGGGAAUAUUGGACAAUGGGGGCAACCCUGAUCCAGCAAUACCGCGUGUGUGAAGAAGGCCUGAGGGUUGUAAAGCACUUUCAAUUGUGAAGAAAAGUUAGCGGUUAAUAACCGUUAGCCUUGACGUUAACUUUAGAAGAAGCACCGGCUAACUCCGUGCCAGCAGCCGCGGUAAUACGGAGGGUGCAAGCGUUAAUCGGAAUUACUGGGCGUAAAGCGUGCGUAGGCGGUUUAUUAAGUCAGAUGUAAAAGCCCCGGGCUUAACCUGGGAACUGCAUUUGAAACUGGUCAACUAGAGUAUGGUAGAGGAAAGUGGAAUUUCUGGUGUAGCGGUGAAAUGCGUAGAUAUCAGAAGGAACAUCAAUGGCGAAGGCAGCUUUCUGGACCAAUACUGACGCUGAGGUACGAAAGCGUGGGUAGCAAACAGGAUUAGAUACCCUGGUAGUCCACGCCGUAAACGAUGAUAACUAGCCGUUGGGGGGAUUUACCCUUUAGUGGCGAAGCUAACGCGUUAAGUUAUCCGCCUGGGGAGUACGGCCGCAAGGUUAAAACUCAAAGGAAUUGACGGGGACCCGCACAAGCGGUGGAGCAUGUGGUUUAAUUCGAUGCAACGCGAAGAACCUUACCUGGUCUUGACAUCCUGCGAACUUUCUAGAAAUAGAUUGGUGCCCUCGGGAACGCAGUGACAGGUGCUGCAUGGCUGUCGUCAGCUCGUGUCGUGAGAUGUUGGGUUAAGUCCCGUAACGAGCGCAACCCCUAUCCUUAUUUGCCAGCACAUCAUGGUGGGAACUAUAAGGAGACUGCCGGUGAUAAACCGGAGGAAGGCGGGGACGACGUCAAGUCAUCAUGGCCCUUACGACCAGGGCUACACACGUGCUACAAUGGGAAGGACAAAGAGCCGCGAAGCCGCGAGGUGUAGCUAAUCUCAUAAACCUUUUCGUAGUCCGGAUUGGAGUCUGCAACUCGACUCCAUGAAGUCGGAAUCGCUAGUAAUCGUAGAUCAGAAUGCUACGGUGAAUACGUUCCCGGGUCUUGUACACACCGCCCGUCAAGG